Molecule: ribosomal RNA, 496 nt
Filed under: uncultured bacterium
Lineage: Bacteria
Description: partial 16S ribosomal RNA
Rfam family: Bacterial small subunit ribosomal RNA
Source: RNAcentral
GAUGAACGCUGGCGGCGUGCCUAAUACAUGCAAGUCGAGCGAACAGAUGAGGAGCUUGCUCCUCUGACGUUAGCGGCGGACGGGUGAGUAACACGUGGAUAACCUACCUAUAAGACUGGGAUAACUUCGGGAAACCGGAGCUAAUACCGGAUAAUAUAUUGAACCGCAUGGUUCAAUAGUGAAAGACGGUUUUGCUGUCACUUAUAGAUGGAUCCGCGCCGCAUUAGCUAGUUGGUAAGGUAACGGCUUACCAAGGCAACGAUGCGUAGCCGACCUGAGAGGGGGAUCGGCAAAACUGGAACCGAACCACGGUCCCGGUACCUACGGAAGGCCGCAGAGGGGAUUCUUCAGCAAUGGGCGAACGCCUGACGGAGCAACGCCACGUGUGGACUAAAGCACUUCGCAUCGAAAAACUCUGUUAUUAGGGAUAAACAAAUGUGUAAGAAACGAUGCACGUUUUGACGGUACCUAAUAAGAACGCCACGGCUAACUACGU